Molecule: ribosomal RNA, 454 nt
Filed under: uncultured Bacteroidales bacterium
Lineage: Bacteria; Pseudomonadati; Bacteroidota; Bacteroidia; Bacteroidales
Description: bacterial SSU rRNA
Rfam family: Bacterial small subunit ribosomal RNA
Source: RNAcentral
CCCACCAAACCGACGAUGGAUAGGGGUUCUGAGAGGAAGGUCCCCCACAUUGGAACUGAGACACGGUCCAAACUCCUACGGGAGGCAGCAGUGAGGAAUAUUGGUCAAUGGGCGAGAGCCUGAACCAGCCAAGUAGCGUGAAGGAUGACUGCCCUAUGGGUUGUAAACUUCUUUUAUACGGGAAUAACAAGCGGCACGUGUGCCGUUCUGCAUGUACCGUAUGAAUAAGCAUCGGCUAACUCCGUGCCAGCAGCCGCGGUAAUACGGAGGAUGCGAGCGUUAUCCGGAUUUAUUGGGUUUAAAGGGAGCGCAGACGGGUCUUUAAGUCAGUUGUGAAAGUUUGCGGCUCAACCGUAAAAUUGCAGUUGAUACUGGAGACCUGGAGUGCGGUAUAGGCAGGCGGAAUUCGUGGUGUAGCGGUGAAAUGCUUAGAUAUCACGAAGAAGUCGGAUUG